CACUCCCUGGGGUGCUUGCCAGUUGGUGAUGUCCCUGAGCCGAUACGCACAACCAUGGAGGUUGCACGUUGGGCCGGUGUGCAUGUCCGCUUGACGGAAAGCCUUAACGCCCCCUGCAACUUCCACCUUGAACUUUCGGGUUCAAGGGCUAAGCCGACAGCGGUUCAUCCGGGGAGCCU
This 179-nucleotide non-coding RNA is filed under the name Pseudomonas sp. G2-4. RNAcentral describes it as "6S RNA". It matches the Rfam family "6S / SsrS RNA". From Rfam's summary of the family: E. coli 6S RNA was the first non coding RNA to be sequenced, but its function was unknown until recently. It consists of 184 nucleotides that fold into an extended hairpin structure with a large single-stranded internal bulge. Lineage: Bacteria; Pseudomonadati; Pseudomonadota; Gammaproteobacteria; Pseudomonadales; Pseudomonadaceae. The record is from RNAcentral.